AUUGAACGCUGGCGGCAUGCUUUACACAUGCAAGUCGAACGGUAACAGGGUGCUUGCACCGCUGACGAGUGGCGAACGGGUGAGUAAUGCAUCGGAAUGUACCGUGUAAUGGGGGCUAGCUCGGCGAAAGCCGGAUUAAUACCGCAUCCGCCCUGAGGGGGAACGUGGGGGUCCGAAAGGCCUCACGUUAUACGAGCAGCCGAUGUCGGAUUAGCUAGUUGGUGAGGUAAAGGCUCACCAAGGCGACGAUCCGUAGCGGGCCUGAGAGGGUGAUCCGCCACACUGGGACUGAGACACGGCCCAGACUCCUACGGGAGGCAGCAGUGGGGAAUUUUGGACAAUGGGCGAAAGCCUGAUCCAGCCAUGCCGCGUGUCUGAAGAAGGCCUUCGGGUUGUAAAGGACUUUUGUCCGGGAGCAAAUCCUAGGGGUUAAUAACCGCUGGGUCUGAGAGUACCGGAAGAAUAAGCACCGGCUAACUACGUG
Molecule: ribosomal RNA, 484 nt
Filed under: uncultured bacterium
Lineage: Bacteria
Description: partial 16S ribosomal RNA
Rfam family: Bacterial small subunit ribosomal RNA
Source: RNAcentral